GACGAACGCUGGCGGCGUGCUUAACACAUGCAAGUCGAACGGAAAGGCUCCAGCUUUCUGGUGUGCUCGAGUGGCGAACGGGUGAGUAACACGUGGGCAAUCUGCCCUGCACUCUGGGAUAAGCCGGUGAAACUGGGUCUAAUACCGGAUAGGACCUUUCUCCUCAUGGGGUUUGGUGGAAAGUUUGUCUGUGUAGUAUGUGACCGCGGCCUGUCAGCUUGUUGGUGUGGUAAUGUCCUACCAAGGCGACGACGGGCAGCCUGGCUGAGAGGGGGAUCGGCCAAGUCAGGAUGGAAAUGCGGCACAGACUCCUACGGGAGGCAGGAGUGGGGAAUAUUGCACAAUGGGAGGAAGCCUGAUGCAGUGAAGCCGCGGGGGGGAUGUGGGCAUGCGGGUUGGAAAGCUAUUUCCGUAGGGACGAAACGAAAGUGACGGUACCUGAAGAAGAAGCCCCGGCUAACUACGUG
Molecule: ribosomal RNA, 467 nt
Filed under: uncultured bacterium
Lineage: Bacteria
Description: partial 16S ribosomal RNA
Rfam family: Bacterial small subunit ribosomal RNA
Source: RNAcentral